AUUGAACGCUGGCGGCAUGCCUUACACAUGCAAGUCGAACGGCAGCACGGGAGCAAUCCUGGUGGCGAGUGGCGAACGGGUGAGUAAUAUAUCGGAACGUGCCCAGUCGUGGGGGAUAACGUAGCGAAAGCUACGCUAAUACCGCAUACGAUCUACGGAUGAAAGCGGGGGAUCGCAAGACCUCGCGCGAUUGGAGCGGCCGAUAUCAGAUUAGCUAGUUGGUGGGGUAAAAGCUCACCAAGGCGACGAUCUGUAGCUGGUCUGAGAGGACGACCAGCCACACUGGAACUGAGACACGGUCCAGACUCCUACGGGAGGCAGCAGUGGGGAAUUUUGGACAAUGGGCGCAAGCCUGAUCCAGCAAUGCCGCGUGCAGGAUGAAGGCCUCGGUUGUAACUAGCUUUGUUACGGUAACGAACGGUAGAGCUCUAAUAAGACUAGUCUAAUGACGGUACCGUAAGAAUAAGACACCGGCGUAACUACGU
This 485-nucleotide ribosomal RNA is filed under the name uncultured bacterium. Its description in RNAcentral is "bacterial SSU rRNA". It matches the Rfam family "Bacterial small subunit ribosomal RNA", at positions 30 to 506 of the family's 1533-position model. The record is from RNAcentral.